Cyprinus carpio (common carp) is the source of this 1029-nucleotide long non-coding RNA. NCBI's taxonomy places the organism in Eukaryota, Metazoa, Chordata, Actinopteri, Cypriniformes, Cyprinidae. The record is from Ensembl.
AUGACAUCACCACUUUGGAACCUUUAUUUUUGGAACUUUAAUCUCCAAUCUUCUGUCCAUUUCCAUAACCUCAUCUUGAAUCCCAGCCUUCAUCUUGAAUGGGAUUGUUCACCAACCUGUAGUCGUUGUUCUGCAGUAGGUGGCGAUGGGGACCCAGACACCCAGUCAUCUCUUCCAGCAGGUCCAAACUUUAUCCAGCUGCUGUCCAGCAAUCGUCGCAUGCUUCUGCUGACAGAAGAGCUUCGGCUGAUGAAGGAUGAGAGAGUCAGAUCAGUGGAAAUCAGGCCAGCGGUCAGCCAAUGGCGUGAGGCGAAAAAAGACCCGAAAGGCAAUCAUUUGGGGAUUUGUGAUGCACACAGCUGGCCUAUAUUUAAUAAGCAGAGAAGAUGGAGCUGUCCAUCAAAUGAGUUGAAGUGCUGCUGCGCUAUGCAAUGGUGGCAGAAAAGGGCGGGGCUUUUCCUUUGCAUUCAGAGUUGCACGUUUAGAUGAACAUCUAGGAAUGCUUCAGUUCAGACAUAUGUUGCUUUAAGAUAUACUUUAGCCUACUUCUUUGCUUUGGAGAAACUUAACCCUGUUUAGUCAGACAUAUUAAAUACUAGUCCAAAAAAUGGACUCUUUAUUGAUCCUUUAGACAAAAUAUGAGAAAAAAAAGUUUUAUGUUUUGCAUCAGAUUUGAAUCACCAUGUCUCAUAUAAUAUGAUACAGUGAGAAUAAUGAGCUCACAUUUGAGGAGGAAAAAGCGCCUAUAUUUUAUUCAGAUGCCCAAACUGAGCAAAAAUAUGCAAUUUGGUGAAGUUGCUGUUAUUUAUAUGGCCAGAAAUUAAGAAAUUCUGAUCAUGUAAAUCAAUAAGAUUUUUAUCAUAGUAACAGACUACUUAUAUAAAUGCAUAUAAAUAUCAGUUGUCACGAUAAUGUCUUUGUAAGAUAUUUAUUUGCUCAGUUUUAUGAUUAACAGAAUACAUAAUGCAAUGCAAAACAGUGAUGAUUGAGAAAUGAACAAAUAAACAUUCCUCAAAAGGCUGAUGAGCA